This 531-nucleotide ribosomal RNA is filed under the name uncultured Entrophosporaceae. RNAcentral describes it as "SSU rRNA". It matches the Rfam family "Eukaryotic small subunit ribosomal RNA", at positions 569 to 1092 of the family's 1831-position model. The record is from RNAcentral. Lineage: Eukaryota; Fungi; Glomeromycota; Glomeromycetes; Entrophosporales; Entrophosporaceae.
AGCAGCCGCGGUAAUUCCAGCUCCAAUAGCGUAUAUUAAGGUUGCUGCGGUUAAAAAGCUCGUAGUUGAAUUUCGGGAUUGAUGCAUCGGUCGUGCCUUAAUGGGUAUGAGCUGGUGUGGUCAAUUUCUUACCUUCUGGUGAAUUGUGAUGUCCUCCUUAAUUGGGUGUUUCAAUGAACUAGGACUUUUUACUUUGAAAAAAUUAGAGUGUUUAAAGCAGGCAUUAUUUGCUUGAAUACAUUAGCAUGGAAUAAUAAAAUAGGACAAUGAUUCUAUUUUGUUGGUUUCUAGGAUCACUGUAAUGAUUAAUAGGGAUAGUUGGGGGCAUUAGUAUUCAAUUGUCAGAGGUGAAAUUCUUGGAUUAAUUGAAGACUAACUACUGCGAAAGCAUUUGCCAAGGAUAUUUUCAUUAAUCAAGAACGAAAGUUAGGGGAUCGAAGACGAUUAGGUACGUCGUAGUCUUAACCAUAAACUAUGCCGACUAGGAAUCAGACAACGUUAAAUUUUUAAUGACUUGUUUGGCACCUUACG